Long non-coding RNA from Peromyscus maniculatus bairdii (prairie deer mouse), 1337 nucleotides. RefSeq lists it as uncharacterized. NCBI's taxonomy places the organism in Eukaryota, Metazoa, Chordata, Mammalia, Rodentia, Cricetidae. The record is from RefSeq and is a predicted model, not a curated record.
CAGCCAGCCCUGUGACUCCAUCUUCGCUCAGUGCUUACAUAGCUACUGAGUUAGGACUGUUACUAAAAAUACUUCUAAACACUAACCCAAGCCAUGGAACAGGAAGGGCUUCUCCAGUCCAAAGACUACAUGAAAAGAGAAGAAGAAAAGGCUUCCCGUUUGUAAAAGGAUGGUGCUGAAAUAACAAAAGCAAACAACUUCAGCAUACUUUUGUAAGAACACUGCAGUUUGCUCCUGCAUUCAUGAGGAAUCAGAAAACAUCUGUACCACAUAUGAAAUGUUAAUGGAGUGCACCUAUUUCUCCUGAGAAUGCAACGAAGACCUCAAAGAUCUGCAGUUUCUCUGAGAUUUCACAUCUGUCUAACAUGAGGGUACCUAGGCUGUGCUCUAGAAAUGAGAAAAUGAACAAGUCCCAGAUGACUCCUGAUCUGGUGCAUCCAACCAGGACAUCCAGAGACCACCAGAUGAAUGAAAACAUCUGAAGGCAGAUGACAAACCCAUCAACAGGAGAUGUACCAAGGGGGAGAGUACGCUGAUAAAUUGGGGAGACAGCAGGACUUUAACUCCUCAAGCUGAGACUUUGUGGAAACAAGGACUAACCCAAAAAUGAUGCUGUUAUGUUAAUGACUGUAUUACAAGUUAAUUCUUGUCAAUUAAGAAUCCAAAUGCCUUUCGUCAGGGAGGAUAAGACACAUAUGAAAGGAGAUAGUAUGAUAUUGUUGUGCCAUGCUAAGGACUGUUCAUGAAGGCUUGUGUGGAAUAGGCCAUAUUACACCCAUUGAGCUCACAGCAAAAAUAAUAGCAGAAAUUAAGACAUGAAUGAACUGAGGAUGUUUUUGCCUUUCCUCAGUCCUCUGUUAGCUAUUCUUACAAUUCUCUCAUGCUUGCCUGUGUUAAUUAGACUAGCUAUAGGGGCAAUACAUUCAACCCUGGCCUCUAUUACAACCACUUUUUCUUUAAAAAAAAAAUUAGAAGGGAGAUAUUGGGGACACAGAGGUCCUUGUACUCACAGAGAAGCACUAAAAGAACCGGGAAUAUUAAUCACACAGGGGCAUCUCCUCAAUGGAGACACAAAUCAAAUUAGCUGCUUUCCAGGCAUGGUCAGAACAGAGAGGACAUGAUCUAAAGAAACAUGACUAUUAACUGUGUUUUAGAGCUCCUAGGCUCUAAAUAACAACAUGUAAUAAGGUACCAACAAUGGUUAAUUAAUGUAACAAAUGUGUCAUAUUAAGAAUAAAGGGAACUAGGUAUAAAACAGACAAAAACUCCCUGCUACUAUCUUUACAAUAACUUUUAAACCUAAAACUGUAAUCAAAUAAAAGUUCACAUAAAAAUUA